RNAcentral lists this ribosomal RNA (431 nucleotides) under uncultured bacterium. Its description in RNAcentral is "bacterial SSU rRNA". It matches the Rfam family "Bacterial small subunit ribosomal RNA", at positions 29 to 506 of the family's 1533-position model. The record is from RNAcentral.
ACGAACGCUGGCGGCAGGCCUAACACAUGCAAGUCGAACGAAGCCUUCGGGUUUAGUGGCGGACGGGUGAGUAACGCGUGGGAACGUGCCCUUUGGUUCGGAAUAGCCCCGGGAAACUGGGAGUAAUACCGGAUAAGCUCUUCGGAGGAAAGAUUUAUCGCCAAAGGAUCGGCCCGCGUUGGAUUAGGUAGUUGGUGGGGUAAUGGCCUACCAAGCCGACGAUCCAUAGCUGGUUUGAGAGGAUGAUCAGCCACACUGGGACUGAGACACGGCCCAGACUCCUACGGGAGGCAGCAGUGGGGAAUCUUAGACAAUGGGGGAAACCCUGAUCUAGCCAUGCCGCGUGAUCGAUGAAGGCCUUAGGGUUGUAAAGAUCUUUCAGGGGGGAAGAUAAUGACUGUACCCCCAGAAGAAGCCCCGGCUAACUCCGU